RNAcentral lists this ribosomal RNA (253 nucleotides) under uncultured bacterium. RNAcentral describes it as "partial 16S ribosomal RNA". It matches the Rfam family "Bacterial small subunit ribosomal RNA", at positions 524 to 776 of the family's 1533-position model. The record is from RNAcentral.
UACAGAGGGGGCAAGCGUUGUUCGGAAUUACUGGGCGUAAAGGGCGCGUAGGCGGCCUGUUAAGUCGAACGUGAAAUCCCCGGGCUCAACCCGGGAACUGCGUCCGAUACUGGCAGGCUUGAAUUCGGGAGAGGGAUGCGGAAUUCCAGGUGUAGCGGUGAAAUGCGUAGAUAUCUGGAGGAACACCGGUGGCGAAGGCGGCAUCCUGGACCGAGAUUGACGCUGAGGAGCGAAAGCCAGGGGAGCAAACGGG